AUGGAACAAUGUAGGCAAGGGAAGUCGGCAAAACGGAUCCGUAACUUUGGGAAAAGGAUUGGCUCUGAGGACUGGGCUCGGGGGUCCCGGCCCCGAACCCGUCGGCUGUCGGCGGAUUGCUCGAGCUGCUCACGCGGCGAGAGCGGGUCGCCGCGUGCCGGCCGGGGGACGGACCGGGAAUCGCCCCUUCGGGGGCUUUCCCCGAGCAUGAAACAGUCGACUCAGAACUGGUACGGACAAGGGGAAUCCGUCUGUUUAAUUAAAACAAAGCAUUGCGAUGGUCCUCGCGGAUGCUGA
Molecule: ribosomal RNA, 297 nt
Filed under: Triticum aestivum (bread wheat)
Lineage: Eukaryota; Viridiplantae; Streptophyta; Magnoliopsida; Poales; Poaceae
Description: partial small subunit ribosomal RNA
Rfam family: Eukaryotic large subunit ribosomal RNA
Source: RNAcentral